Molecule: ribosomal RNA, 253 nt
Filed under: uncultured bacterium
Lineage: Bacteria
Description: partial 16S ribosomal RNA
Rfam family: Bacterial small subunit ribosomal RNA
Source: RNAcentral
UACAGAGGGGGCUAGCGUUGUUCGGAAUUACUGGGCGUAAAGGGAGCGUAGGCGGCUUUCCAAGUCAGGUGUGAAAUCCCGGAGCUUAACUUCGGAAUUGCACUUGAAACUAGAGAGCUUGAGGACGAGAGAGGAUAGUAGAAUUCCUAGUGUAGGAGUGAAAUCCGUAGAUAUUAGGAGGAAUACCAGUGGCGAAGGCGGCUAUCUGGCUCGUUUCUGACGCUGAGGCUCGAAAGCGUGGGGAUCAAACAGG